GAUGAACGCUGGCGGCGUGCCUAACACAUGCAAGUCGAACGGAGUUAUUUUGGAAAGUUCUUCGGAACUGGAAUCUAUAACUUAGUGGCGGACGGGUGAGUAACGCGUGAGCAAUCUGCCCUUAGGUGGGGGAUAACAGUCGGAAACGGCUGCUAAUACCGCAUAAAACAUUUUGAAGGCAUCUUCGAAAUGUCAAAGAUUUAUUGCCUUUGGAUGAGCUCGCGUCUGAUUAGCUGGUUGGUGAGGUAACGGCUCACCAAGGCGACGAUCCGUAGCUGGUUUGAGAGGACGACCAGCCACACUGGGACUGAGACACGGCCCAG
RNAcentral lists this ribosomal RNA (323 nucleotides) under uncultured bacterium. Its description in RNAcentral is "bacterial SSU rRNA". It matches the Rfam family "Bacterial small subunit ribosomal RNA", at positions 28 to 334 of the family's 1533-position model. The record is from RNAcentral.